CGGGCAACCGUGACCCUGCUGGAGUGCGGGGGGGACCUCCAGCCCCCCGGGGGGUCCCUGCGCCUCCUCUGCCGAGGGGCCGGGUUCGAUUUUGGGAAUUUUGACAUGCACUGGAUCCGGCAGAGACCCGGGCAGGGGCUGGAGUGGCUCGCUGGAAUCUACAAAACUGGUUCCAGCACGGCCUACGCGCCGUCGGUCAAGGGCCGGUUCACGAUCUCCAGGGACAACGGGCAGAGCUCGGUGACGCUGACCAUGAACAGCCUCAAGGACGAGGAUUCCGGAUCCUAUUUCUGUGCCAAAUGUUCCAGCAGUGGUUGGGGUGGUGGUGCUGCUGCUUAUGCUUAUGGUGUUGAUGCCGGCGCUCUGCCGCAGCGCCCCGAGGCUGAGCUGCCCUCUGCCCAGCACAGAUGUUCACCGUGA
This is a non-coding RNA of Melospiza melodia melodia, 420 nucleotides long. Lineage: Eukaryota; Metazoa; Chordata; Aves; Passeriformes; Passerellidae. The record is from the annotation of a RefSeq genome assembly.